This 407-nucleotide ribosomal RNA is filed under the name uncultured bacterium. Its description in RNAcentral is "bacterial SSU rRNA". It matches the Rfam family "Bacterial small subunit ribosomal RNA", at positions 28 to 426 of the family's 1533-position model. The record is from RNAcentral.
GAUGAACGCUGGCGGCGUGCUUAAUACAUGCAAGUCGAGCGAUCGGACCAUCGGUAGCAAUACCGGUGGUUGCGGAGCGGCGAACGGGUGAGUAACACGUGACCAACCUGCCCUCGAGACGGGGAUAACGCCGGGAAACCGACGCUAAUACCCGAUGACCCUGCAGUGAGGCAUCUCACAGCAGGCAAAUGGAUUCCGCUCGAGGAGGGGGUCGCGGCCUAUCAGCUUGUUGGCGGGGUAACGGCCCACCAAGGCUUAGACGGGUAGCUGGCGUGAGAGCGCGACCAGCCACACCGGGACUGAGACACGGCCCGGACUCCUACGGGAGGCAGCAGUAGGGAAUCUUGGACAAUGGGCGAAAGCCUGAUCCAGCGACGCCGCGUGGGGGAUGAAGGCCUUCGGGUUGU